Molecule: ribosomal RNA, 343 nt
Filed under: uncultured Sphingobacteriales bacterium
Lineage: Bacteria; Pseudomonadati; Bacteroidota; Sphingobacteriia; Sphingobacteriales
Description: bacterial SSU rRNA
Rfam family: Bacterial small subunit ribosomal RNA
Source: RNAcentral
AUGGUUGUCGUCAGCUCGUGCCGUGAGGUGUCGGGUUAAGGUCCCACUAACGAGCGCAACCCCUACCUUUACGUUGCCAUCAGGUUAAGCUGGGGACGUCUAAAGGAACUGCCUACGCAAGUAGUGAGGAAGGCGGGGAGUGACGUCAAAUCAGCACGGCCCUUACGUCCAGGGCUACACACGUGCUACAAUGGCCGAUACAGAGGGCAGCUACCUGGUGACAGGAUGCAAAUCUCCAAAGUCGGUCUCAGUUCGGAUCGGAGUCUGCAACCCGACUCCGUGAAGUUGGAUUCGCUAGUAAUCGCGCAUCAGCCAUGGCGCGGUGAAUACGUUCCCGGGCCUU